Molecule: long non-coding RNA, 2006 nt
Filed under: Mus musculus (house mouse)
Lineage: Eukaryota; Metazoa; Chordata; Mammalia; Rodentia; Muridae
Description: long non-coding RNA chr9:72315130-72317136
Source: RNAcentral
GGUAGGUUCCUUAUAUUCUAUAGGAGCACAACACUAUAGGAUGAAUAUAAUCAAAAGAACACAUUGUAUAUCAAAAAAAGGAAAGGCUUUUUGAAUGUACUAAUAAAGGAUAAAACUUAAGAUAAUGGAUAUAAUAAUUACUGAUUUUUGAUCAUUACCCAAUGUAAACAUGAGUCACAUCAUGUUAAACUUCAUUUUUAUGAAAAUGCAAAUUCUCAGCUCCACUCCCCCAAAAGAUUUAGGAGCCUGAGAGAUAGUUAAGUGGCUAAAGCACUUGAUUUCUCUUUCAGAAGACCUGGAUCUUGUUCCUGCCACUUACAUGGCUGCUCAUAGCUGUGUGUAACUCCAGUUCCAGGGGUAGCCUUACACUCUAAUCUGGCCUCCAGGGAACUACUACACACAUGUGCACAUACAUAAAUAUAGGCAACACACACACAUGAAAUAAAAAUACAUUUUUAAUAAGAAUUUAAAUUACAGGAACUUAAACUAGAUUGAUAAGAAUGAAGUAUAGACGGUGUCUGAUAACUUGUCAGACAGACUACAGACCACAAUACUGAAAUAUUCACUAGGUACAAAUGGCUAUCUCAUAAAAUUAAGACUGAAGUGAAGGAUUACAGAACAGACCUUAGAGCCAAAAUGGUUAUAUGUCCCAACAAAGUUUUUCAGUUGAUUUUGAGUCCUAUGUAGUUGUGCCCUGUGUAGCUUAUUAUCUUUAUAUAAAACCUAAUUCAGGGGGCUGGUGAGAUGACUCAGCGGUUAAGAGCACUGACUGCUCUUCCUGAGUUCAAAUCCCAGCAACCACAUGGUGGCUCACAACCAUCUAUAAUGAGAUCUGACGCCCUCUUCUGGGGUGUCUGAAGCCAACUACAGUGUACUUACAUAUAAUAAAUAAACAAGUUUGUUUAAAACCUAAUUCUAAACUUAGUCCUUGUUUCUCAAGUUGUACUUUUUGCAUUUUGAAUGUUUCAGGAUAUUUUGACUUUCCUCAAAAGCAAUUCCUUACUCUGUUUACUGUACUUGGUUUUUAUUGACCAUUUGUUCUUUAUCUGUUUUUAUUAAGGAUCUAAAUCUAAAAUAUUAUUGAAGAGGUAUUAUGAACAAGAAUUUUGUGCUACUUUUAAAACUCUGAUCCUGUCUUUUUUGUGUAUGAAAGAAAAUAAAACAGUAAUUAGUUGCUCAUUUGUUAUGUAUAUAAUUUAUGAGCAUCUUUGUGAAACCAUUAUCUUUUAUAAAUAGUAAAGUAGAAAUUUACACCUUACUCUUCCAUGGGUCAUUUUAUAGCUUCAGAAAAGAAUCACAUACCAAGAAUCACAUGGAGUGGCUUCUCCUGAAAGCCAGAUCUAACAUUUAGGGUAUACCAUCAAUAGUGACCAUUAUUAAUUGGAAGACUGAAUUAAAGAAUUUUUAAAUUCUAAUUUUCCUGAGACUUUUGUCAUUCCCCCCACCCCCUUAGGAGGGUUUUAAAUAAGGUUAGUACUUUGUUAAUAUAAUAACCAUUAUUAUACAUACUUCAUACAUAUACUUUAAGUAAUUUCUUUCUUCUGGUCUCCCUCUUAACACUUUAAUCCAGGGCCAUUUGCUUGCUGGGCCAGUGCUCUACCACUGAAUUGCAGCCACAGCUCCUGAGUGAUUUUCCAUAGUGUAGUAUAGUAGCUUAUUCCACACAAUGCCUCAUUUCCUUAAAAUUAAAAGUAGCAUUAUUUCUAUUAGUCUUAUAAAAAGUCUUUAGAAAUAGCUUGAUUUUUUUUUUUUUUAAUUUUGAAUUCAUAGAUGUUACAUGUACCUCAUGAAAAAUCCAGAAAUAAGGCUGGGCCUUUUAUCCAAAGACUCAGGCAAAAGUCUGAGUUCAAGGGCAGAUUUAGCAAAUCAGCUCUGUCUCUAAGAAAGAAAAUACAGAAACAUAAGUAACAAAGCCUUUUCUUACCUCUCUUUUAUUUAAUUUAUUUAUUUAUUUAUUUAUUUAUUUAUUAUUUUUAUUUUGGUUGUGGUUCUAUUCUACCCAAGGG